CCUACGGGUGGCAGCAGUGAGGAAUAUUGGUCAAUGGACGAGAGUCUGAACCAGCCAAGUAGCGUGAAGGAUGACUGCCCUAUGGGUUGUAAACUUCUUUUAUAUGGGAAUAAAAUGUUCCACGUGUGGGAUUUUGUAUGUACCAUAUGAAUAAGGAUCGGCUAACUCCGUGCCAGCAGCCGCGGUAAUACGGAGGAUCCGAGCGUUAUCCGGAUUUAUUGGGUUUAAAGGGAGCGUAGGUGGAUUGUUAAGUCAGUUGUGAAAGUUUGCGGCUCAACCGUAAAAUUGCAGUUGAAACUGGCAGUCUUGAGUACAGUAGAGGUGGGCGGAAUUCAUGGUGUAGCGGUGAAAUGCUUAGAUAUCACGAAGAACUCCGAUUGCGAAGGCAGUUCACUGGACUGCAACUGACACUGAGGCUCGAAAGUGUGGGUAUCAAACAGGAUUAGAUACCCUAGUAGUC
This 460-nucleotide ribosomal RNA is filed under the name uncultured bacterium. Its description in RNAcentral is "partial 16S ribosomal RNA". It matches the Rfam family "Bacterial small subunit ribosomal RNA", at positions 338 to 795 of the family's 1533-position model. The record is from RNAcentral.